UUUCCGUAGGUGAACCUGCGGAAGGAUCAUUAUUGAAUGAAACACUUCUGGCUUUAUGCUGUUGUGCUGGCCCUUUGGGCAAUGUGCACACGGCUCUGGUCACUUGUUUCUUCUGUUCCACCUGUGCACUGCCUGUAGACACGCUGUGUCUAUGAUAUUUGUUAACACACAACAAUGUUAGUUUGCAUGUUAUAUAUAAUAAUAAAAUAUACAACUUUCAACAACGGAUCUCUUGGCUCUCGCAACCAAGAAGAAAGCACAAGAUCGGAUGAACAAACG
RNAcentral lists this unclassified non-coding RNA (279 nucleotides) under plant metagenome. Its description in RNAcentral is "partial contains small subunit ribosomal RNA, internal transcribed spacer 1, and 5.8S ribosomal RNA". The record is from RNAcentral.